CAGAGCGGAUCGAGAGCUCAACCGGCUUCCGAGCAUGCGCGAGAACCCAAUGCAUGCGCAGAGCCGCCGCCGAAGCCCAGCGCCUGCGUAGGCGCUGCCCGCUGAGAGGGGGCGUUCCCGCCGAAAUGGCGGCGCGGAGGGAGGGUAGGAAUGCGGGCGGGUGUCGCGGUUCGUGUGCGUCUGCUCUGUUCCUAUACCUCUGUUCUUCGUCUUGGGGAUAAAAACAUGCCAGCUCUUACCUUGUUUCCACAAACUGUGCAGCAAUAAAAGUCUGCUAUCCAGAGUGCAUAGCUGACCAUCUUUUUGAUUGGAAAACUGCUGAACUCCUGUGGGCUGACUUUUGACGUGGACUACUGUUGAUCACUGAGCUCAGCUUGACUGAAAUCUAAAUUCCUUGCUUGUUCUAGGGCUUACAUCCUGCAAAAAUGCAUACACUUUAUUUCCUGAGCUAGGUUGUGCCUAUUCCCAAGAUGAGAACCUGUGUGAAGGAAUAAAAAGAUGUGUCAUACGAUACACAUACAAGCAAGUUCUGUUUACCCCUCUGCUUUCCUCAGCUUCUGAAAGAGGAACGCGAAACCACUGUGAGUGAUGGUGGUCUCAGCAGACAGCUUUCGUUUAGCCUGUGGGGUAAGGACAACCUGAAUGGAAACAAGAUCUCUUGUCUGCUGGAUGUUGCUUUCCUGUAUCUGGAAUCCAAAAUCUGACUAGUGCCAGCUGGCCUGCCCGCAGCAAAUCCUUGUACUCAGGGGACAGGAGGGAUCCAUGGAUCUGUGGGAAACAAGGCGGACUGAAGACCUCUCAACAUGACUAUAGUGUUUUAUUUUUUUGAGGGAAAAAGGUUUCUGAGGCCAAAUGUAAGCUGCCCCACCUGCUGCUGAUGGGCAUAAGAAGACUGUAAAACUGUACACAGUCAGAGUAUCCUACUGAUACUACUAUCCUAUGAUCAAGGAACAUCCAUCCUGAUAACAGAGCAACAUACAGAUGAAUGGGAACUACACAAAGUAAACAAAAGAUGGGUAAUGCAGCACCCCAGCAGGAAUUGUAGAGCCGCCAACUGAAUUGUGUUGACAUUGUAAAGUCGCAUUCCUUCGGAAUAUAGAACAGUUCUCUUGCAAAAAAAAACCCAAAGUCAACAAAAAUGCAUUAUCAGAAUUCAGAAAGAAAGCAUUUUGAAUGAUAACAGUGCUUCUCUAAAAAAAUAAAUAAAUAGAGCAUUGGAAUGAGCUUUAGAUUUGAACAUUGCCUUGGAAUCCAG
Molecule: long non-coding RNA, 1255 nt
Filed under: Gallus gallus (chicken)
Lineage: Eukaryota; Metazoa; Chordata; Aves; Galliformes; Phasianidae
Source: RNAcentral